UACGGAGGGUGCGAGCGUUGUCCGGAAUCACUGGGCGUAAAGGGCGCGUAGGCGGCCUGAUAAGUAGGGGGUGAAAUCCUGCGGCUUAACCGCAGGGCUGCCUUCUAAACUGUCAGGCUCGAGCACAGUAGAGGCAGGUGGAAUUCCCGGUGUAGCGGUGGAAUGCGUAGAGAUCGGGAAGAACAUCAGUGGCGAAGGCGGCCUGCUGGGCUGUUGCUGACGCUGAGGCGCGAAAGCUAGGGGAGCAAACAGG
RNAcentral lists this ribosomal RNA (253 nucleotides) under uncultured bacterium. Its description in RNAcentral is "partial 16S ribosomal RNA". It matches the Rfam family "Bacterial small subunit ribosomal RNA", at positions 524 to 776 of the family's 1533-position model. The record is from RNAcentral.